Long non-coding RNA from Dinoponera quadriceps, 1039 nucleotides. RefSeq lists it as uncharacterized. The record is from RefSeq and is a predicted model, not a curated record. The transcript is spliced from 3 exons. NCBI's taxonomy places the organism in Eukaryota, Metazoa, Arthropoda, Insecta, Hymenoptera, Formicidae.
UGCUACUUUAGUUUAUUAUUUCAUUCGAACACUUCCGAUAAAGGCUUGAAAUUAAUGACAAACAGAGAAAGAGAGAGAGGCUUGUAAUUUCAUAUUUAUGACAAUGGAGCAUGUAUACUCAUAAUGUCAAUCGACAGCUAAAGAUCUUUGCCUUUUUAAAUAGGACAUGUAUUUCGCAAGUAUCUGAAAGCAUAUCUCAAAUUUUAUUAUAUCGAUCAAAAGUCCACAGUGUUGCACCAUCACGGAUACACGUAUAUAUCGCGUGCAUAAAAUGUGCAAACUAAAAAUAAUGCGUCUUACGACAAAGCGAGUUAUGAAAUCCUCGGGCGGAUUAUGUAAAAUACACACAACAAUAACACACAGUGGCAGCGUAUACCGACACGAUAUAGCGCACGUUCUCGGUAUGGUAGGCGUGGACGAUAACAAAAGAAGCGAAAAUGAACGGUCAUGAACGAAGGAAGAAGCAUGCAAUGACGAGAUCGGGAUCGUUGCGAAAUUACUAAGGUCAGGCGAGCGACCAGGCGACGACGUGCGCGUGAUGCAACCUCAAAACGCUCGCGUGCCGCCCGUCUUGGCCCGAUUAUGCAUAAUGCCGCGAGUCGAGGUUAUGUGCGAGCCGCGCGGCAUACAUUCACCUUACUAUUCUCACGUGCCGUAAGAGGCCACGACGGCACGACCGCAACAUUUCAACUCAACAGGGGCUGUGAAAACAGUUUAUUUAUAACUUGCAGCUGAAAUAUAAAUAAUCCUGAAUAUUAACGAAGAGAUGUAAAAAGUGUAACGAAUGAAGGGGUAAAUGGAUGUGUAUCGAAAUGGAAAAAGAACGAUCCCUUCCCGCGGAGCACGAAAAUCAGGCGAAACUCAACAGGCCGGAACUUCCGUAAAAAUAAUUACAACGAGGUGGUCCAAGAAGCAUUUUAUAGCUUGGAGUUUUUGUAAAUAUGUUUUUAUUUCAGGUUGAAACAAAACGCGUCCUUUCGGCUUUGAUCGCUUGCAGAAGAGGAACGAAUGGAUGUAUAAAGUUCGUUAACAAAUGAAU